GUGCUUUCUUCUGCAGCACGUACACUAAAAUUGGGACUAUUCAUAGAAGAUCGAAAAGGCCUCAGCGCAAGGAUGAAAUGCUAUGCAGUAUUCCAUUUUUUAUUUUU
Callithrix jacchus (white-tufted-ear marmoset) is the source of this 107-nucleotide small nuclear RNA. The record is from Ensembl. NCBI's taxonomy places the organism in Eukaryota, Metazoa, Chordata, Mammalia, Primates, Cebidae.